Molecule: transfer RNA, 72 nt
Filed under: Rhizomucor miehei CAU432
Lineage: Eukaryota; Fungi; Mucoromycota; Mucoromycetes; Mucorales; Lichtheimiaceae
Description: tRNA-Sup (TCA) (tRNA-Sup-TCA-1-1)
Rfam family: tRNA
About the family: Transfer RNA (tRNA) molecules are approximately 80 nucleotides in length. Their secondary structure includes four short double-helical elements and three loops (D, anti-codon, and T loops).
Source: RNAcentral
GCUCUGUUAGCUCUGUUGGUAGGGCGUCAGUUUUCAAAACUGAAGGUCGACGGUUCUCUCCGUCAGAGAGCU